RNAcentral lists this long non-coding RNA (806 nucleotides) under Linum usitatissimum (flax). RNAcentral describes it as "long non-coding RNA (LUSI_LNC005281)". Lineage: Eukaryota; Viridiplantae; Streptophyta; Magnoliopsida; Malpighiales; Linaceae. The record is from RNAcentral.
AUUUGUAGAGAAAGGAAUGUGAUGAUGAUGAAGAAAAAACACUUAUCUUUUUGUAACUCAAAAGUGUAUAGAAAAGGGUUAACCCUUUCACAAUUAUUCUUGCUUCUCAUGCUUCUCAGGCAGCCAUUGAAGAAGGAGCUGCUACUGCUGCAAAGUUAGAUUCUCUGCUUCUGAAAAAAAUACCUUUUCUUCAUUUGACAAUGAACCAAACCACAAGAUCCCCAAAAAACCAAACCAUGCUAGGGUUGGAAUUAGAUCCUUACCUUUACUUGGGAAAGUGUACCUUACCUUUUUAUGUUUCCUGAUCAACGAGACCAAAGAAAAGAAUGAUGCUUUACUUGUAAAACACCCCAUCUGCCUCUGCAACUCUGAGAAAAACAAACGGCACUAUAUAGGGCAAAAACCCUACAUUUCACAAACAUCGAAUUUGAAUUCAAGUUCUAAAGUAAAUUAAGGAAUCGGACUACCAUCUCACUCAAACUGAAACUCUAUCAAACUGAAACAAUGGAAGUUUGCAACAUCCUCAAAGCAGCAGCAGGAUGUAAGAGUCUAAGCAGAAGAUAAUGGAUUUUGGCUUAGGAUCUUUCCGAAAGGAGGUGUACAAUUCAUAUGAUCAAGGUUGAGCAGAGGAAAUCAAAAGAUAAGGCCUCUAUUUCACAAACAUAGAUCGAAUUCGAAUUGAGUUCAACACUAAACAUUCCGGUUAAGACUAAUAUCUCAUUCGAACCGAACUCUACAAAAGUUGAAACAAUGGGGUAACAUCCAACAUCUUCACGGUAGCAGCAGCAGCAGGAGGAUGUAACAAU